GCCCACGUGGUGAAAAUAGGUAGACACGCCACCUUGAGGGGGUGGUAUCCGAUUAGGAUGUGCUGGUUCAAAUCCAGUCGUGGGUA
Molecule: transfer RNA, 86 nt
Filed under: Blattabacterium sp. (Nauphoeta cinerea)
Lineage: Bacteria; Pseudomonadati; Bacteroidota; Flavobacteriia; Flavobacteriales; Blattabacteriaceae
Description: tRNA-Leu (GAG) (tRNA-Leu-GAG-1-1)
Rfam family: tRNA
About the family: Transfer RNA (tRNA) molecules are approximately 80 nucleotides in length. Their secondary structure includes four short double-helical elements and three loops (D, anti-codon, and T loops).
Source: RNAcentral